CGGAAAUUGCGCGUGCUAUAAUGCAGUCGACGAACUCUGGUAUUGAUUGGUGCUUGCAUCAUGAUUUACAUUUGAGUGAGUGGCGAACUGGUGAGUAACACGUGGGAAACCUGCCCAGAAGCGGGGGAUAACACCUGGAAACAGAUGCUAAUACCGCAUAACAACUUGGACCGCAUGGUCCGAGUUUGAAAGAUGGCUUCGGCUAUCACUUUUGGAUGGUCCCGCGGCGUAUUAGCUAGAUGGUGGGGUAACGGCUCACCAUGGCAAUGAUACGUAGCCGACCUGAGAGGGUAAUCGGCCACAUUGGGACUGAGACACGGCCCAAACUCCUACGGGAGGCAGCAGUAGGGAAUCUUCCACAAUGGACGAAAGUCUGAUGGAGCAACGCCGCGUGAGUGAAGAAGGGUUUCGGCUCGUAAAACUCUGUUGUUAAAGAAGAACAUAUCUGAGAGUAACUGUUCAGGUAUUGACGGUAUUUAACCAGAAAGCCACGGCUAACUACGUGCCAGCAGCCGCGGUAAUACGUAGGUGGCAAGCGUUGUCCGGAUUUAUUGGGCGUAAAGCGAGCGCAGGCGGUUUUUUAAGUCUGAUGUGAAAGCCUUCGGCUCAACCGAAGAAGUGCAUCGGAAACUGGGAAACUUGAGUGCAGAAGAGGACAGUGGAACUCCAUGUGUAGCGGUGAAAUGCGUAGAUAUAUGGAAGAACACCAGUGGCGAAGGCGGCUGUCUGGUCUGUAACUGACGCUGAGGCUCGAAAGUAUGGGUAGCAAACAGGAUUAGAUACCCUGGUAGUCCAUACCGUAAACGAUGAAUGCUAAGUGUUGGAGGGUUUCCGCCCUUCAGUGCUGCAGCUAACGCAUUAAGCAUUCCGCCUGGGGAGUACGGCCGCAAGGCUGAAACUCAAAGGAAUUGACGGGGGCCCGCACAAGCGGUGGAGCAUGUGGUUUAAUUCGAAGCUACGCGAAGAACCUUACCAGGUCUUGACAUACUAUGCAAAUCUAAGAGAUUAGACGUUCCCUUCGGGGACAUGGAUACAGGUGGUUGCAUGGUUGUCGUCAGCUCGUGUCGUGAGAUGUUUGGGGUUAAGUCCCGCAA
This 1094-nucleotide ribosomal RNA is filed under the name Lactiplantibacillus plantarum. Its description in RNAcentral is "bacterial SSU rRNA". It matches the Rfam family "Bacterial small subunit ribosomal RNA", at positions 1 to 1092 of the family's 1533-position model. Lineage: Bacteria; Bacillati; Bacillota; Bacilli; Lactobacillales; Lactobacillaceae. The record is from RNAcentral.